Molecule: ribosomal RNA, 506 nt
Filed under: uncultured bacterium
Lineage: Bacteria
Description: bacterial SSU rRNA
Rfam family: Bacterial small subunit ribosomal RNA
Source: RNAcentral
AGACGACGCUGGCGGCGUGCCUAACACAUGCAAGUCGAGCGGGGACAUUGCGACGGAGACGAAGUACUCGUACGGAGUCAAAGAUGUAAUGUUCUAGCGGCGGACGGGUGAGUAACGCGUGAGCAACCUGUCCCUUACAGGGGGAUAACACAGCGAAAGUUGUACUAAUACCGCAUAAGACCACAGGAUGACAUCGUCCAGGGGUCAAAGGAGCAAUCCGGUAAGGGGUGGGCUCGCGUCCGAUUAGAUAGUUGGUGAGGUAACGGCCCACCAAGUCGACGAUCGGUAGCCGACCUGAGAGGGUGAUCGGCCACAUUGGGACUGAGACACGGCCCAAACUCCUACGGGAGGCAGCAGUGGGGAAUACUGGGCAAAUGGGGGAAACCCUGACCCAGCAACGCCGCGUGAGGGAAGAAGGUUUUCGGAUCGUAAACCUCUGUCCCAGGUGAAGAGGAAGAGACGGUAGCCUGGGAGGAAGCCCCGGCUAACUACGUGCCAGCCGCCGC